UUGCUUGGUUUUUUAGAUGGCCUGCCUCUUCUCCUCUGAAAAAUAUAUUAAGUUAUACCUCAUGACACCAAAUAGAAUUGUUAACAUAAAUCAAUUAAUACAUGUUUACCUUUUCUGGUGGUGGUUUAUGCAAAACUUCAUUCUUACAUCCCUGAUGUUAUGCCCUUCUUGAUGACACUUUCUACAAGUCAUCCUAACACUAUGCUUGCUCAAUUUGUGGGGAUUAUUUUCCUCAGGAUCUCGUCUCCUCUUUUUUUUAGGUCUCCCAGGCAUUUUUCUAACUUCUGGAGGCUUCACAAUGGAACC
This 306-nucleotide long non-coding RNA is filed under the name Salvia miltiorrhiza (redroot sage). Its description in RNAcentral is "long non-coding RNA (SMIL_LNC010341)". Lineage: Eukaryota; Viridiplantae; Streptophyta; Magnoliopsida; Lamiales; Lamiaceae. The record is from RNAcentral.